UUUAUUUUACAUGUAGUUAAACAAAAAUUACAAUGUUAUGAAUCAAAUUACAACAUUGAGAACAAAUUUACCAAAUUUGUUUACACUAUUUACGUGAAGUUAAACAAAAUUACAACUAUGAGAAUAAUUUGUUCAAAAAAUUUGUAAAAUGGUUGUACAUUUUGUAAUUACAAUUAUUAGAACAAAAUUACAAACAAUACGACUUAACAUUACCACUUUGACUACAAAUAUGUUAUCACAUUUGUAAAUAUGGGUAUCACAUACGGGUAGGUACCAUAGAAUUUUCUAUCGAACCAUGCUCCAACUUAAAGAGAGCUAUAAUAUAUUAGAAGGGUGUUAAUUAGUUUAAUUUCUGCUUGUUCUUUUCAAGUCUUCAUUUCAAAUAUCUAUCUAUUAUAGGUCUAUCAUAAUCAAUCGAUCUUCAAUACAAGUAAAAUUUAAUGACAAACUCUUAAAAAAUAGAAAAGAAAAUAAUGUACAUGUAAUUAUAAAAUAUACUAAUAAAAACUUAGGGAGCAGAUUCUAUGUACCAAGGUACACUUGCACCAUUAAUAUGUAAGUCAUGAUGAUUAGAGCUACGAAUAUAGAAUGAAGACUGGAGACUGGAGACCCUAAACUUCUUCCUAUGUGUUGGGGUAGAAAUUGAAUGAGGAUCUAAGAGCUUGCCGUUGUUGGGUUUGAUGAUCCGAUCUUCCCCUUUAGGGUUGCAGGACUAGGCCCAAAGUCUUCCUAGGAUAGACUUUGUUGUGAUGGAGACGCUCCGAGCGUGUAAUAUCAAUACUAAGAGGACUUAGUAGUGUGCAUGGUGUGGGAGCUAGGAUCUUGCAAGUGUAACAGAAUGCAUGCUCAUCGUGAAAAAAGUUUAAUGUAGGUGAGGGAUUGUAAAGUAUGGUGGUGGUGGUGUUUAGAGGUGUCUGAAGGGUGUUUGGAAAGAUGGGUAUGGUGGUGAUGAUCUAGGGUGUCUAGAAGGAUAGGUAUGAUGAUGGUGGUCUAGAGACGGUUAAGCAUGAGGAGCUUGGUAGUGGUUUUUGCAUGUAGGUAUUGUGUCUCAAUCCCACUGUAGCUUCCUUUAAAUUAAAUUGAGGUUGAAGACUGAGGGUAAAAAAUGACCCGUGACUCUCUAAUUUUAGCAAAGGUCAGAACCCCCUUCUCACUGUCAUCGUUCGAGCCUUAAGCUAAAAAACGUAAAGGUGGCAGUGGUUCUAAGGCAUCCUUUCUCGAUUUCUUACCAAGUUAUUUUUGGUUAACGGGUUCAAACAAGACAUGGCCUUGGGUUUGCCUUAACACUACCAGAAGAAAGACCUUUAGCCGCGAAAAAAAAAAAAAAACAAGGCCGCGAAACAAUUUUUCGUGUACUUUAGCCGACGAAAUUUUCCUUCGUCGGCUAAAUUAUAUUUUCGUCGGCUAAAGAAUUUUUUUUUGUCGGCUAAAGUCUGUGACUUUAGCCGACGACUUUAAACUUUCU
Molecule: long non-coding RNA, 1465 nt
Filed under: Fragaria vesca (wild strawberry)
Lineage: Eukaryota; Viridiplantae; Streptophyta; Magnoliopsida; Rosales; Rosaceae
Description: long non-coding RNA (FVES_LNC005333)
Source: RNAcentral